This is a long non-coding RNA of Rattus norvegicus (Norway rat), 1303 nucleotides long. RefSeq annotates it as Alu-mediated CDKN1A/p21 transcriptional regulator. The record is from RefSeq and is marked validated. Lineage: Eukaryota; Metazoa; Chordata; Mammalia; Rodentia; Muridae. The transcript has a single exon.
GGUGACUCCCGCGAGGAAGGCUGUAGUUUGCCAAAUGCCUCCUUCUCAGAGAGGACAGCCACGGGGCCACGGGCUGGGUUCGGCGGUUCCGCCAUUUUGCGCUCCUGUUGUAUUUACUCUCCGCCGCUCCCCGGAGCGGGGGCAUGGGGCGGGGUCCCUAGGUCCAGGCCGAGCUCCCAUUGGGCGCACUAAACUGAGGGAUCCUUAAACAAACCAAUCAAAGAUGCGGACAGAAGCCGUCGGGGGUGGGAUCACGGAGCGGACCUUCUUUGGAGGUCAGAGGUCUUUCGGAGCGGCCGACGGAGGGGUUACCGAGGAGGGUCUUCUGACAGUCGCUCGGCAGCCCCCAAUCUGCGAGGACCGAGGUAGCGCUGCUGUUCUCUCAAAGACUUUGCCUUGUUUGUACCGCCCUCUCUUUUUACCUUGAGGUGGCUUGGGUCCCUUCUUGCCUCUUCACGUUCUGAAAAGCGGGUUCUGGCGUUGCUCAAAAUGGGAGGAAAUUUGUGGAGAGUCCGAUCAGCAAAGACUGAAAUGGUGCAAAGUUGCCUUAUUUUAACUAAGGUCGUAAAAGUCCGUGCUUUAAAAGAGAGUUUUCUGCAGAGCUGGAACUUGGACCACUUCCGAUCAUGAAGAUAAAAAUCACCCACCGUUUGGAGACUUUAAAUUGAGUUUGAGUACUAAAGGUUUUCAUUUUAACUAUUCUCUAAACUACACCAAGAAAAACCCAUUAGCUGUGUUAAUAAAUGCUUGCAAAUCCAGCUAGGUUUCUGUAUUUCAGAGUUAGCACUCUGAAACUUCGCCAAGCAUGUACCUUGAUUUUAUCUCAAAAGAUAAGGAAUUUGCAGGGGGAUGGGUUACUACACAGUUCAAGCUUUAGACAAGAGCAUGCCUUUAAGACUUAGAUCUUGGAUGAUAGCAGAAUGUUAAAGGGCUGGAUGGAAAGACUUCACGUGGUCAGGUUACUUCACCAAAGAAAAGGAGUUUUAUGGUCCCUAAGAGGGACAUUAGCUGUUACUUCCUGCAGUUAACAGUUACCUUUCAGGAAAUCGACCUCAGGAAACUAGAAUGAUCUGUUUUGUUACUCUUUCAGUACCAUCCCCCUUCCUUAGGACUUGGUGAGUGGAACACAUCAAAUUUCAAUGUUGAUUAUAAAUACUUUUUUUUAAGGAUUUUGGUUGGUUGGUUGACUCUCUGUGUAGUCCUGGCUAUCCUGUGAACCAGCCUGGCCUUGAACUCAUAUCUACCUGCCUUUGCCUAACUCCCUUUCCCCCAGUGCUAGAAUUAAAGAAAGGUGUGUACCGCU